UACUGAGGGUGCGAGCGUUAAUCGGAAUUACUGGGCGUAAAGCGAGUGUAGGCGGUUGCCUAAGUCGGAUGUGAAAGCCCCGGGCUUAACCUGGGAAUUGCAUUCGAUACUGGGUGGCUAGAGUUUGGUAGAGGUAAGUGGAAUUCCGGGUGUAGCGGUGAAAUGCGUAGAUAUCCGGAGGAACAUCAGUGGCGAAGGCGGCUUACUGGACCAAAACUGACGCUGAGGCUCGAAAGCGUGGGUAGCAAACAGG
Molecule: ribosomal RNA, 253 nt
Filed under: uncultured bacterium
Lineage: Bacteria
Description: partial 16S ribosomal RNA
Rfam family: Bacterial small subunit ribosomal RNA
Source: RNAcentral